Molecule: long non-coding RNA, 222 nt
Filed under: Capsicum annuum
Lineage: Eukaryota; Viridiplantae; Streptophyta; Magnoliopsida; Solanales; Solanaceae
Description: long non-coding RNA (CANN_LNC007283)
Source: RNAcentral
AGACUGAAGUCGUAUGCAGAUGUGAGGAGAAAAGCUUAAAGUAGCCCAGAGCAGACUUAUAGACUGCGUACUUGAAAAUAUCUCCCAUAAAGGGGGUAAAGAGGUUCGGCAAGAAAGGGAAACUUAGUCCUCGCUAUAUCGGUCCUUUCAGAAUUCUCAGUUGUUUAAAAAAGGUAUCUUACGAGCUUGAGUUACCUUUUGAUCUAGCUUCAGUAAACCCAG